This 449-nucleotide ribosomal RNA is filed under the name uncultured bacterium. RNAcentral describes it as "partial 16S ribosomal RNA". It matches the Rfam family "Bacterial small subunit ribosomal RNA", at positions 29 to 523 of the family's 1533-position model. The record is from RNAcentral.
AACGAACGCUGGCGGCAGGCUUAACACAUGCAAGUCGAACGCCACCUUCGGGUGGAGUGGCAGACGGGUGAGUAACGCGUGGAAACAUACCUUUUGCUUCGGAAUAUUCCCGGGAAACUGGGAGCAAUACCGGAUGUGCCCUGAGGGGGAAAGAUUUAUCGGCAAAAGAUUGGUCCGCGUUAGAUUAGGUAGUUGGUAGGGUAAAGGCCUACCAAGCCUACGAUCUAUAGCUGGUCUGAGAGGAUGAUCAGCCACAUUGGGACUGAGACACGGCCCAAACUCCUACGGGAGGCAGCAGUGGGGAAUAUUGGACAAUGGGCGCAAGCCUGAUCCAGCCAUGCCGCGUGAAUGAUGAAGGCCUUAGGGUUGUAAAAUUCUUUCACCGGGGACGAUAAUGACGGUACCCAAAGAAGAAGCUCCGGCUAACUUCGUGCCAGCAGCCGCAGUAA